CCUACAAGUUAAAUAACAUGUUUGUGAGAAACUGAAACAGAAUCGCCUUUCUUAAGAUGACCAUUAAGCAAGUACUUGGGUAUGUUUUUAAUUUCCGAUACAUUCUGCCAUUUUGACAACAAUGAAUAUUUUUAUACUGGAAGAAAGAAGUUACAAAAUUCUUUAUACUUCUGGCUGUAUAGAAGAGAAAUACUAAGAACAUACUCUUUAGCCACCAUUGAAUUAGUUUGAGACUGUUUCUAAGAUUCUUCCUUGGCAAAUUGUUCAAGAUUGCAAGCUUCUCGAGGAAAUGGCAUCCUUUUACAUUUGAAUACUUUUAGAACAAUGAGAGUUUUGAAAUAAAGUAGAUAUUUUGUAUCACAAAUAUUUUACUACUUUUUGUUAAAUCAUACUUCAACCAAUGUAAUUAAAAUCCUUUGGUUUGGUUUGGUUUGGUUUGGUUUGGUUUGGUUUGGUUUGGUUUGGUUUGGUUUGGUUUGGUUUGGUUUUUGCAAAUAUUGUAGGUUUGAAUUAUUUAUUUAACGUAUUUGCACACUGCAUGCUCCCAACAAAGCCAGCCCACAGUGGUCUGUAACACUAAUAGUAGAUCUGAAAAUAUACUAUAACAAGUGUCAUAAACAUAGUAACAUCAUACAAUCAGAAGGAAAAAAGCACAGAAACAUGUCAUUAAUAUUAAAAGUUCAGGACAGCAGAUUAAAACAAACCACAUGAAAUAUAAAAAGCAGGUUUUAAAAAUUUUCCUAAGACACCACAGAACAGUCUAAUCAAAUUAUUAAUGGAGAGAAUUCCAUAGCAUUGAAGCCACUACCAAAAAAACUGUGGUCCCAGUAGACUGCACCUAAACCUGUUUUGGGGCUGGCAUAUGCAGAAGGUCUUCUGGUGAAUACAACUCCUGGUACAUACGGAGAAAGCUGUUCCUUCAAAUAGAAAGACUCAAAGAAGAGGUACAACUGAUAAAGCAUGUCCAAUUGCCAAUGUGCUGACCUGAGCAAUCAAGGACAGCACAGGAUCAAAAUGUACCCCCAAACUAGGCACCUAAUCCUCUUGGGAAAAAUAGCCCCAUUCAGGACAGGAAAAUCCCCUUCCAGCUGAUUGAGGCAUCCCUAGUCAUCAAUCCUGUUCACUUGUCUGGAUUCAGUUUCAACUUAUUGUACCUCAACCAAUAUGCAAUCUGGUCCAAGCAGGAAUCAGUCAAGGAGUUUGACAUUGAUGAAAAAGAAUAGUCCUGAGUGUCAUCCAUAUAAAUGUAGCACCUACUGUGAUUACAUAUAGAUGUUGAGUAUCGGAGGGGAUAGGACAGAAUUCUGUGGCAUUGCACAACUUGAGCUGCAAUAAGGAAAAGUAAUCCUCCUGUCCUUUUGGAACCUAUUUUCAAGGUAGAACCAAAACCACAACAGAGUUGUGGUCCUCCCUCCCAGCCAGCUCUUUAGCUUUAGUUCAAAAUCUGAGAUCAAGGACUAUAAGCAAAGACUAUCCUGUUCCUUCAGUAAUGGCAACCAAAGCCAUCUCCAUACCAUGAUCUAGUCUGAAAUCAGAUUGAACAGCUUUAGAAAAUCAGUUUCAUUCUGGAACACUUGGAGUUGAUUUGCCACCAUUCUUUCAACUAUUUUGAUGAGGGAUGUUAAAUUCACAAUUCACUAUUAGCCUAAAGCUGUUUUAAUGGGGUGGGGGGCAUCUAUUCAUUGUUUUUUCAGGAGGAGACAUAUUCCCCACCUCCUUUAAAAUAGAUGAUGUUUCACACCUAUUGAGGGAGACAUUGUUGAUCAAACAUAACACAUCCUUCAACCAAUCCUUCCUGGCCAGUAUCAGUCAAGAGGGAGCUGGGCCCAAACUCAUCCAAGCAUCUUGUCCACAUACUAAAGCUUUCGGAGUCAAAGGUACUAGGCGACCUUCCAGAGCCUAAUCAGAUUGGGUCAGCCCCUACUCCACUCAGAAUGGGUCCUUUGAAUGAUGAUCAGAUAAAGCAGAAGUGAAGAAAAACACUUGCCAGAAAGUCGGCUUUCCAAUGAAUUCUAAGCUGUACUCAGCCAUAUUUGCUUUUAGACUUAUGCCAUCAACAAACUGUCUCCCUGCAUGUUUCAUCAUCUGCAGAUCUCCAAUAAACCAAGGAAACCUUGAAAGCCUAGCCAGCAAUCAUUCCAGUUACCAAGACUUGGAUUGAAGGAUUAGGGCCAUCAGUAAACCUCCCUCCAAGUGAGUUCUAGAAUUCUAUCAGAUACAGAGAAUGCUAAGGAUGGAUCAUCUGAUCUGGCUCAGCCCCUUUGCAGGCAAGGGCCAGCCAACUACUAUAAUCUGACCGAGCAGUCAUCCGUCAUUGACAAAACACUCAGUUCUGGCCCCUCUAACCACUUAUCAUUUUUGCCACAAAACACCCAGAUCUAUAGGAUGUCCUGCCUGAUGAGUAAAGGCAGAUAUUGUGAGACAGACCAAUAAUAGUCACGAAAGACCAGACUCGGUAUAAAUAAAAAGUUUUGGAACUCCCCAAACCACUUCCAAGACCAAUUUUACCAGCUCAGGCAGAGAUAGUUUCGGACAUGGGGCUCAUAGUAUACCAGCAGGUACCCCAAUCUGUCUCACCCUCCAAGUUCUGAUAACCACACUCCAAAUCUUUAUAUGACUUUGUUCUUUCAUGCAGAAACCUGGUAGGAGAGUCUAGCUCAGAUGACUUCAUCCAAUUCCCCCAAUCAGAUCUCAGUCACACAAACCAGUUCAACUCACUGGCCUGGAUCAAGUAACCUAGGAGGUGGAUCUUUGUCAUCAGCAGCAGGCACUGACCAAGAAAAGAGAAGAAAUAAGAGGCUUACUAAUCAGCCUCCCCACCUUCCCUUGGUUGAUGACUGGGCCAGAUAUUGAGCAUCAGGCCUACUGAAUUUCCCCAUACUACAGGAGCUGUCAGUCAAAUGACCAUUCCUCUGUAAACACUUUUAUAGAUAAAGUGAAAAACCCACCAGAUAAAACUAUUUUCAACCUAUCCAGCCAUCUCAACAAUCAAAUCAAAUAAACACACACCCAACUACCCACCCUCAUUCAUAAUCUACAGUUAGUUUUAAUACAUUACAGCUCUGUGAUAACUUCUACCAAAUGAUAAUCUGAAAACAAGAAUCCCCAUGCCCAUUUCUCUUCUUCAGUUCUUUCAACAAUGAUAGGCAAUGUUGUAGUUCAGUGGUUCUCAAGCAUUUUGGCCUCAGUACCCUUUUACAUUCUUAAAAAUGAUUGAGGACCCCAAAGAGCUUUGGUUAUGUGAGUUCUAUUGAUAUUUACUAUAAUAGAAAUUAAACCUGAGAAGAUUUAAAAUGUUUGGCUUUGUGGACCCAUUGGGUCCACACUUUGAGAACCACUGUUCUAGUUCUUAACCACAAUGUCCACACAUCUUCAAACAUCAAAGUUCUUCCUUCCAGCUUUGAAAUAAAGUAUUCUAUAUUAUUUACAAGCAUUUUACUGUUUAUGCUAAAACCUACUAGGAAAUUGAUUUAAAACACCAUGGGGAUUUUUUGCAAAUAUUUGUAGUAAGGUAUGACAUUGUAGAGUUAAACAAUUCUAAGUAUUAUCAAAUGUGUUUUCAGAAUAUGAU
Molecule: non-coding RNA, 3571 nt
Organism: Python bivittatus (Burmese python)
Lineage: Eukaryota; Metazoa; Chordata; Lepidosauria; Squamata; Pythonidae
Source: RefSeq, a predicted model, not a curated record